GAUACCCAAACCUAUAGGUAAUAAGUAUUUAUCCAUUUUAAUUUUAAUUUUUGAAAACACUUUGAUAAAAAGCGAUAUUUUUUCGGUUCAAUUUUGGGUUUCUCUUUUCAGUCUAGGUUGUUUUUUCAGUUUUAUUUAGGUUUAUAGGUUUUUGCGGUUUGCCUCUCGAGGUAUUUUUCACCAAAAUUCAUCACUUUUCUAUUCUAAUUAGUUCCAUUUUUUUUUUUUAAUAAUAGAAAAUGUAAAUUACCUAGAGUCCCGCUAAGUGGCAAAGAAUUUUUUCAAAAUUCCCAUCACACAAGACAAACAAAAUUGGUGAUCAAUUUCUCAUGAAAGUUAUGUUGUGAUCAUGAAUUUUGAUAGAAUUUGAACUUGAUGACUACGAAUUUGUUUUUCACUUGUCUAUAGAAGUUUGAUAAAAAUAAAAUUCUUCGUUAUAAGACUCUAAUAAUUGUCAUAAUUUUAAUACAUGAGAAUUUUACAAGAAAAAAAGAGAGGGAUUAGGUACUUGAAUAGUAGCAAUACCUCAAUGGUAAGUCAUAAGUGGAAGGUAGGUACUUGUAGGCAGUCAAAAAUUUUGAUGACAUGACAAUUUAACGAGGUAAAACGGAAGUUUCUUGAAAAAUUCAUGCUUGCUUUUAUUUUAUUUAAUACUUCCUUGGAAUUGAUAUAGUUGAUCAACAUUUUGGAAUUUUCAACAAUACUCCAGACUGGUUUGACUGAUUCAGUAACGAAACAUUAUAGGUCUAAAGACCUAAUAUUCAUGCUGCUUAUAAGUUACAUGGUAGUCUUAGGAGCACAAAGUUUCAUCCACUUGGUUACAAUUAUAUGUCUUCAUUUUAAUGAGCGUUCCGUACUCAAAUAUUCUCUGUUAUUCGGCAGUACUGCCCAAGUAUAUGGUGCAAUUUUCAAGUUUAUGAUCAGUUUGAAAGCGGAUCAGCAAAAUGCAUUUAAGGAAUUGUGCGAGGAAGCAGAAAGGUGUUCAGAGGUAAUCUUUGGAAAUUAUAAUCAUCAGAAAGAAGCUCAGAAAGGUUGUGAAUUCAUGACACUAAUAUUUCAAAGUGAUUUAAGGACAUUACAUUUAUGCUUCAAUAUUCUUGCAACAUUAGUAUUCCUCAGUUACUUAAAAUUUGAAGUGAUAAGAAAAAAUCUUGAACCUACAAUUUGGGAUGCAUGCGAUGUAUUUCGCUUUCGCGUUGCAAUCGAAGACGCCAAAGAAGCUGAUGACGUCUCACAUAAAAGUGGGCAAAAGAAGAGUGCGCAGAAAAAUAUUGCCUCCGAGGUGCCCACACAGCCUAUAUUUUCUGGAUUUGGGUUUCGGAUUAUGAGGUUUCGGAUUUGGUGUUUUGAUUCCAAAGAAUUAUUUAAUGUUAAUACCAAUCAGCGAACUGUUGAAAAAUUCUCAGCAACCAGUACGAAGAUUACACCAAGUACACCAGUGCAGGGCAUAGACGUGUAGUGUGUGCGUAGGUCUGGGUACCUACCCACCCCUUGCCAGUUCAUUCGUUGACAAGUCGGAAGGUUUUUUAUUUCUUUAUGGAUAAAAUUACAAAAAUUCUCAUUCCUGAAAAAUGAUAAAUUCUUCACAUGACUGUUGAAGAGGUAAUGCAAAAAGCGUAUUCUGAAAAUCAAAUUUUUUCAAGUCAGGAGUUUUUCUUUUUGAAAAAUUUGAAACAAAGUUAUUGUAAUAAAUAGGUAAAUAAGCAAAGUAAGUAAUCUGAAACCGAAUGCAAUAUAUUGAGAAUAAAAAAAAAUGUAUGUGAACCCCUCAAAUCCCAUUAUUUUAAAAAGCGAGACUUUCACGAGACAUUUUUCUCAACCAAAACUGAUCUCUAUCUCUUCCUCUUCCUCUACACAUUUGGCGCAUUUUGGACAUGGUGGGCACACUGGACAUACUGGACAACUUGGGCACCUUGGACAUUCUGGACAAGGAGGACAAGUUGUAGAUGUAGUGGUUCGUGGUCGAUAGGUAGGCCUUGGUCGUGGACAUGGAGGACAUUCAUCAGUUCUUGGAGGACACGAUUGAGAAGAUGAGUCGUCGUUGUCGUCGUAAUCCCAUUCCGUAGAUUCUUUCGAAUUGUAAUUUGAAUCUUGUUGGCGUUGUCGUUUCAUGGCGAUGGAUAUCGAUUGAUUAAGAUGUACGGAUGAUGUAUCGUCGCUUCUGCUGAUUUUAGAGUCAGUUUGCGAUACGCUAAAUUUUGUUUACAAUUCAUGCAACGAUUAUGAUCGUAAGAUGGUAAAAUAUAGUCUUAUCAUGUUUUAUUCUCUUACCUGGUUCUAAUAAAUGAUGAUUGUAACAAGUAAA
Planococcus citri (citrus mealybug) is the source of this 2305-nucleotide RNA transcript. RefSeq lists it as uncharacterized. The record is from RefSeq and is a predicted model, not a curated record. NCBI's taxonomy places the organism in Eukaryota, Metazoa, Arthropoda, Insecta, Hemiptera, Pseudococcidae. The transcript is spliced from 5 exons.